This is a non-coding RNA of Pelobates cultripes (western spadefoot toad), 677 nucleotides long. The record is from the annotation of a GenBank genome assembly. Lineage: Eukaryota; Metazoa; Chordata; Amphibia; Anura; Pelobatidae.
GGGUUCUAACUGCACACAGACAAACAAAUACACUGCAUCCUAACUGCACCCAGAGAGAGAGAGAGAUACACUGCAUCCUGCAUCCUAACUGCACUCCGAGAGAGAGACACUGCAUUCUAAAUGUACUCAGAGAGAGAGAUACACUGCAUCCUAACUGCACUCAUAUACACUGCAUUCUGACUGCACUCAGAGAGAGAGAGAUACACUGCAUUCUAACUGCACCCACAGAGAGAGAUAAACUGCAUUCUAACUGCACCCAGAGAGAGAGAUACACUGCAUCCUAACUGCACUCAGAUACACUGCAUUCUGACUGCACUCAGAGAGAGAGAUACACUGCAUCCUAACUGCACACACAGAGAGAGAUACACUGCAUUCUAACUGCACCCAGAGAGAGUGAAAGAUAAACUGCAUCCUAACUGCACCCAGAGAGCGAGAGAUACACUGCAUCCUAACUGCACCCAGAGAGAGAGAGACACACUGCAUCCUAACUGCACCCACAGAGAGAGAUACACUGCAUUCUAACUGCACCCAGAGAGAGAGAAAGAUACACUGCAUCAUAACUGCACCCAGAGAGAGAGAUACACUGCAUCCUAAUUGCACCCAGAGAGAGAGAGAGAUACACUGCAUUCUAACUGCACUCAGAGAGAGAUACUCUGCAUCCUAACUGCAUCCAGAGA